AACGAACGCGGGCGGCAUGCCUAACACAUGCAAGUCGAACGAGACCUUCGGGGCUAGUGGCGCACGGGUGCGUAACGCGUGGGAACCUGCCCUUAGGUUCGGAAUAACUCCCCGAAAGGGGUGCUAAUACCGGAUAAUGUCUUCGGACCAAAGAUUUAUCGCCUUUGGAUGGGCCCGCGUUGGAUUAGCUAGUUGGUAGGGUAAAAGCCUACCAAGGCGACGAUCCAUAGCUGGUCUGAGAGGAUGAUCAGCCACACUGGGACUGAGACACGGCCCAGACUCCUACGCGAGGCAGCAGUGGAGAAUAUUGGAAAAUGGGCCGAAGCCUGAUCCAGCAGUGCCGCGUGAGUGAUGAUGGCCUUAGGGUUCUAAUUCUCUUUUACCCGGGAUGAUAAUGACAGUACCGGAAGAAUAAGCUCCGGCUAACUCCGUG
RNAcentral lists this ribosomal RNA (433 nucleotides) under uncultured bacterium. Its description in RNAcentral is "partial 16S ribosomal RNA". It matches the Rfam family "Bacterial small subunit ribosomal RNA", at positions 29 to 507 of the family's 1533-position model. The record is from RNAcentral.